AACGAACGCUGGCGGCAGGCUUAACACAUGCAAGUCGAACGCAUCCUUCGGGGUGAGUGGCAGACGGGUGAGUAACGCGUGGGAACGUGCCCUUCAGUUCGGGAUAACCCAGGGAAACUUGGGCUAAUACCGGAUACGUGCGAGAGCAGAAAGAUUUAUCGCUGAAGGAUCGGCCCGCGUCUGAUUAGCUAGUUGGUGGGGUAAUGGCCCACCAAGGCGACGAUCAGUAGCUGGUCUGAGAGGAUGAUCAGCCACAUUGGGACUGAGACACGGCCCAGACUCCUACGGGAGGCAGCAGUAAGGAAUAUUGGACAAUGGGGGCAACCCUGAUCCAGCCAUGCCGCGUGAGUGAAGAAGGCCUUCGGGUUGUAAAGCUCUUUCAGAUGUGAAGAUGAUGACGGUAACAUCAGAAGAAGCUCCGGCUAACUCCGUGCCAGCCGCCGCCGUAA
Molecule: ribosomal RNA, 449 nt
Filed under: uncultured bacterium
Lineage: Bacteria
Description: partial 16S ribosomal RNA
Rfam family: Bacterial small subunit ribosomal RNA
Source: RNAcentral